This 1235-nucleotide ribosomal RNA is filed under the name Bidentatettix yunnanensis. Its description in RNAcentral is "partial large subunit ribosomal RNA". Lineage: Eukaryota; Metazoa; Arthropoda; Insecta; Orthoptera; Tetrigidae. The record is from RNAcentral.
GUGAAUCUGGUUUACAGAGCUUAGUUAAUAUACUGAUUUCAUUUACAUUGAAAAAUUUUUUGUGCGAUUCAAAAUGUUCUGAUUAGGUUUAAUUAGUUUUUUUUUAUUGUUUAUUAUUGUAUCUAUUUAAAAUUUUUUCUUGAUUAUGGGUUUAGUAAUUUAUUUUGAAAUACUUUUAUCUAUUAUAGUUUAUUUUUAAUGUAAGUGGUGAUUUUUUUUAAAGAUAAAGAAUUUUUUUAUAUUUUACCUUUUGUAUCAGGGUUGAUUUAAUAUGGGAUUUUUAUUAAUUUUUCUCGAAUUAUUAAGAUUUAAUUUAAUAUGUUUAUUACUGUGGCAAUAUUAUGUUUAAUGUUAAGUUGGUGGUGAAAUGUCAUUCGUUUAUUAAUAUAUCUGGUUUUCUGAGAUCAAAUUUAAUUUAAGGGGGCUUUUAAAUUUGAUGGUUAUUUAUUGGAUUUUUAAGUUUUUUUUAUUUGCUAGGGGUUAAGCUCUGGUUUUUAUUAUAAUUUUUUAUUUUUUAUUUUUUCCUAGGCUUGGAAAUAGUCAUUGGUUAUAAAUAUGUUUUAAUUUAAUUGUUUUAUUUAUUAUUUAUUAUUUUAUUUAGUUUUAUUAUUGGGAUAAUAGCUUUAAUUAUUUAUGUUAUGAAAUAAUGAUUUAAUUAGUAUAUAUAUAUAAGUUUUUUAUUUAUUUUAAUGUAAUUUAAAUAAAGGAACUCGGCAAUUUUUUAGUGUUUCCGAAUGUUUAUCAAAAACAUUUUCUAUAGAUUAUAUUUUAGGUAGGGCCUGCUCACUGAGUAAUUAAAGAGCCGCGGUAUUUUGACCGUGCAAAGGUAGCAUAAUCAUUAGUACAUUAAUUGUGUACUGGUAUGAAAGGUUUAACGAGAAAUACUCUGUCUCUGUUUAAUAUUUAGAAUUUUAUUUUCUAGUAAAAAAGCUGGGAUAUUUUUUUUGGACGAUAAGACCCUAUAGAGUUUAAUUAAAUUAUUAUUAUAUAAUUUGGGUUAAAUUUUGUUUAUGUUUUAGUUUUUAAUUUAGUUGGGGUGAUUUGAGUAAUAUUUAAACUAUUCAUUUAUUUAAUUCAUUGAUUUAUGUUUUUCUUGAUCUUGUAUUAUUGAUUAUAAGAUAAAAUUACCUUAGGGAUAACAGCGCAAUUAUCUUUGAGAGUUCUUAUUGACGAGAUAGAUUGUGACCUCGAUGUUGGAUUAAGAUUAAUUGGUGGGUGUAGGUGCUUUACAAUAG